AUUCAGUUUUGUGGCGGACGGGUGAGUAACGCGUGAGUAACCUGCCUUCAAGAGGGGGAUAACAUUCUGAAAAGAAUGCUAAUACCGCAUGACAUAUGAUUGUCGCAUGGCAGAUAUAUCAAAGAUUUAUCGCUUGAAGAUGGACUCGCGUCCGAUUAGUUAGUUGGUGAGGUAACGGCCCACCAAGACCGCGAUCGGUAGCCGGACUGAGAGGUUGAACGGCCACAUUGGGAGUGAGACACGGCCCAGACUCCUACGGGAGGCAGCAGUGGGGGAUAUUGCGCAAUG
This 288-nucleotide ribosomal RNA is filed under the name unidentified. Its description in RNAcentral is "uncultured Ruminococcaceae bacterium partial 16S ribosomal RNA". It matches the Rfam family "Bacterial small subunit ribosomal RNA", at positions 85 to 373 of the family's 1533-position model. The record is from RNAcentral.